Molecule: non-coding RNA, 235 nt
Organism: Cinara cedri
Lineage: Eukaryota; Metazoa; Arthropoda; Insecta; Hemiptera; Aphididae
Source: the annotation of a GenBank genome assembly
AAUAUCUCGAAUUGAUUACAUAAACAAGCCUAAUAAUUAAAUAAUAUCUUUAGGUAUUUAAUAAUCAAAAAUAUUAUAUCAAUAAGUAUAAUAUGAAAGACAAUGUUUAUAAAUUUAACGCCUAGUUUAUAUCAUUUAUUGAGCAACAAAAUAAAUCUAAAUUAAUACAAUUUCCAGCCAUCAUUAAAGUAUUAGCUGGAGAAGAAAAUGAAUAUUCGGCUUUAACAUUAUUAAU